UAAUACGAGGGGGGCGAGCGUUGUCCGGAAUUAUUGGGUGUAAAGGGCUCGUAGGCGGAUCGAUCCGUCGGAACUUAAAUCCCACGGCUCAACCGUGGAGCUGGUUUCGAUACCGUCGGUCUUGAGUUCGGUAGAGGAAGGCGGAACUCCUGGUGUAGCGGUGAAAUGCGUAGAUAUCAGGAGGAACACCGAAGGCGAAGGCAGCCUUCUGGGCCGAAACUGACGCUGAGGAGCGAAAGCGUGGGUAGCGAACAGGAUUAGAUACCCUGGUAGUCCACGCCGUAAACGAUGAGUACUUGAUGGUGGGGGAUUCGACCCCGUCACCGUCGGAGCUAACGCGUUAAGUACUCCACCUGGGGACUACGGCCGCAAGGCUG
This 377-nucleotide ribosomal RNA is filed under the name uncultured bacterium. RNAcentral's name for it is "bacterial SSU rRNA". It matches the Rfam family "Bacterial small subunit ribosomal RNA", at positions 521 to 896 of the family's 1533-position model. The record is from RNAcentral.